This 494-nucleotide ribosomal RNA is filed under the name uncultured bacterium. RNAcentral describes it as "partial 16S ribosomal RNA". It matches the Rfam family "Bacterial small subunit ribosomal RNA", at positions 28 to 507 of the family's 1533-position model. The record is from RNAcentral.
GACGAACGCUGGCGGCGCGCUUAACACAUGCAAGUCGAACGGAAAGGCCUGCUUUCCCUUGUGGAUUGCGGGUACUCGAGUGGCGAACGGGUGAGUAACACGUGAGUGAUCUGCCCCCAACUUGGGUAUAAGCCUGGGAAACUGGGUCUAAUUCCCGAUAGGACUGCAGGGUGGUGCCUGUGGUGGAAAACGAUUUUCUAGUGGUUAGGGAUGAGCUCGCGGCCUAUCAGCUUGCUGGUGGGGUAAUGGCCUACCAAGGCGGCGACGGGUAGCCGGCCUGAGAGGGUGGACGGCCACAUUGGGACUGAGAUACGGCCCAGACUCCUACGGGAGGCAGCAGUGGGGAAUAUUGCACAAUGGGCGGAAGCCUGAUGCAGCGACGCCGCGUGGGGGAUGACGGCCUUCGGGUUGUAAACUCCUUUCGACCGCGAGGAAGCCACCUGGUUGGAAGGGUGGUGACGGUAGUGGUAGAAGAAGCACCGGCUAACUACGUG